CGGACGGGUGAGUAACACGUGGAUAACCUACCUAUAAGACUGGGAUAACUUCGGGAAACCGGAGCUAAUACCGGAUAAUAUAUUGAACCGCAUGGUUCAAUAGUGAAAGACGGUUUUGCUGUCACUUAUAGAUGGAUCCGCGUCGCAUUAGCUAGUUGGUAAGGUAAUGGCUUACCAAGGCAACGAUGCGUAGCCGACCUGAGAGGGUGAUCGGCCACACUGGAACUGAGACACGGUCCAG
Molecule: ribosomal RNA, 241 nt
Filed under: uncultured Staphylococcus sp.
Lineage: Bacteria; Bacillati; Bacillota; Bacilli; Caryophanales; Staphylococcaceae
Description: partial 16S ribosomal RNA
Rfam family: Bacterial small subunit ribosomal RNA
Source: RNAcentral